CAAUAGCGUAUAUUAAAGUUGUUGCAGUUAAAAAGCUCGUAGUCGGAUUUCGGGUCGGGCCGAGCGGUCUGCCGAUGGGUAUGCACUGUUUUGGCGCGGCCUUCUUUCCGGAGACCGCGGCUACUCUUAACUGAGCGGGCGUGGGAGACGGAUCGUUUACUUUGAAAAAUUAGAGUGUUCAAAGCGGGCUUACGCUUGAAUAUUUCAGCAUGGAAUAACACUAUAGGACUCCUGUCCUAUUUCGUUGGUCUCGGGACGGGAGUAAUGAUUAAGAGGAACAGUUGGGGGGCAUUCGUAUUUCAUUGUCAGAGGUGAAAUUCUUGGAUUUAUGAAAGACGAACUUCUGCGAAAGCAUUUGCCAAGGAUGUUUUCAUUAAUCAAGAACGAAAGUUGGGGGCUCGAAGACGAUCAGAUACCG
This 418-nucleotide ribosomal RNA is filed under the name uncultured eukaryote. RNAcentral describes it as "bacterial SSU rRNA". It matches the Rfam family "Eukaryotic small subunit ribosomal RNA", at positions 592 to 1017 of the family's 1831-position model. The record is from RNAcentral.